UUAGUUGAUUAGUCAUUUUUAAUGGGUUUUCUUUCAUGCUGAAUGACUUAUUUCCAAGAAACUUAUGAGCACAUCUCUGGUAAACACAAGAUUUAAAAUGUUUUUUUCGUGUGAUUCUUUUUGGAGAAACUCAAUUUUACAGAUCUGUUGAAUUAAAUCAAUUAAUCAAUUAUACAACAAAAUCGUUUGAGUGUUAGUUGACUAAGAAUUUCUUUGUUCGAGGACAGCCCUACAAUAAAGUGACUACUUUGGUCAGUUUUUACUCUGAGAUCACCUCUAUCUGAAUCACUGCCUAAAUGAAACUAGUGGUUGACUGUUCGGUACCUAUAAUGACAUAAAUUGCUUUCCAUCUUAAAAGAUGCUAAAUGUGAGAUUGGGAGCAUUUCUACUGCCUUCGCACAGCUCUCAACAUGGGGACAGCUGAUCCGGCAGCUCGCAGCUAAAUUAUAUUUUAACACGUGAUGUUGCCAGACAUUUUUUGAGUAUGUUGAGUAUGUUUCCAUGACAUGUUCACAAAAGAAAAAAAUGAUAGAUUUUAGACCUUUUUGUUGCCAUUUUCACCAAAAACCUAGUAUAUUUUCAUUACAGCAAUGCCUGCUUUGCCUUGUCAGCCUACAGCGUUUCACUACAUAGAAUAACAAACAUAAGGUUUUGUUGCAGCUGGAUACGGUGCAAUGAAUAAUUCAGCUAUUUAUUCAAAAUUUCAACUACAAUCUUUUAUUUUUCUGACAGUAAAAUCAAGUCGAUCUUCAAACUGCAGACACGUUGUCAGUCUUAAUUAUAGAAAAGGCUGAGAUCAUGAAGGCACACUGUCUCUCUAAAAACUAGAAUUCACCCAAAACAAAGGAUUUUUAUGAUGCUGCUGAGUGGAAUGUAAGGUCAGACAUCGAGUUUGAUCUCUUUUCAGCUUGACAUGACGCUUGUUGCUUUUAUGUUAUGUUUACGCCAUCUUUACCAUUCCACACAUGCCGAGCAUUUCAUGAACACGCCAGAAAUGUGCACCUUUGUUGUGAAUGGAAAUCACUUUAACAAGACGGUUAGCACAGAAAUACAGUUUACUGUUUCUGGAAUAUAAUUCUGGUGCUUUUGUGAGUGCUGUGCCACGACCUCACUUCUCCCCAGAGACCCUCCUCCCCGUCCUGUGUGCUUAUUUCUGGGCCUCCUCAGGAGACGCGGAGGAAUGUCUGCUGGGGAGCAGCGACUGUGAAUAAAUAAUGGAGACGACCUGGGUGUUUCUUUCCUGAGUGGCCGCUGAAGGGUGUGUGCGAUUUUGUUGUUGGACAAUCAUGUCAGCUGAGCACGCUUCAUUCAGGAACAACUGUAGGCGGUUUGUGUGCUGACGUGUACGGUUUACUUAUGUGUUUAUUUUGUCUCUUGCAAACUCUCUUUAUGUAGGCCUCUGGGCCCAUGCGAGCCUACAGAUUGGUAUUUGUGAAUUCAGCCAUAUGAUUGUGUUUCCUUUUUAUCGUUUUGCUCAAAUCAGUAAUCACCUCAACCUGCUGUUUUCCUGUUUCAUGAGGGACACGUGCCUGAGCUGUUUAAAAGCACCACUAUCCCAGUCAGAACACACACUGAUGAAUAAUAUAUGGAGCAGAUAAACUUGGACACUAAAUGGAUGUCCCUCAAGUAGAACCCCAAAGGCUGUCUGUGCUCCAGUAGAGAGAUUACCUCUUAUUUUUCCCUUCUUUUUUCUCAUCCUCUUUCUCCCUCUAUCUGUCUCUUAUCCCACCACCAUACUCAUUUACACACACACACACACACGUGCCAAAUCCCUCCAUAAACAACACACUAAUACCCUGAGACCUGGCUUUCAGUGUCAGGUAACGCUCCAGAUUCCUGAAAAAUGCAGGGACAUGUGAGAGGCCUCUAAAUAUAGAAGCGUUACCACCACUGCUCCCGUGUGGUCCUUUAAUUGUCACGUUACACAUGAAUCCCUGCCCCGUUUGCUUCUGUUCUUUCGUUGCGUUCACAUCACAAACUCGCCCGCCAAUCUGCAUGGAAAAAAAAAAAGGUCCCAAUGAACCACUUCAGAUGGCAGAUGAAAGAGUUUUCCACCUUUCCUGUCAUGGUGGGAGCUGGAUAAAGAGGGGCCUACAGAGACGCUAGUUGACUUUGCCACUGGGCACACCCUUGCAAGCUGCGCAGCAUAUCAAUAUAGGGCAAGGUUAAAUGGUUCCUCCCAUUGUCUAGCUACUGUAGAUAUUUUUGGGACAAGCCCCCAAAAGGGUUUUAAAAGAGAUUUGAUCUUCUCAAUUAAUUUCUAGUGCAACAAAAGCCACUGCUGAUUGAAAUGCAGCUGGGAGUGUCUCAUAAAUUACCUCCUUGUUCACAAAGACAGAGCCUGUUGCAUGCAUAGCAUAACCUAAAUAGAUGUUAAAGGGUCAGUUCAUCCAAAUCAAAAACAAAAACUUGUCCCCCAUUGACAGUUUUCACUUUCCCUCCCAAUUUAAAAUGUAAACACAGAGGUUUGUGUGUCUGGCCUCUCUGGUCGAGCUUUCGCUGCGAGGCUGCGGGUCUCCACCUGCCAACAGGGGUAAAAGGGAAAAUGUGUUUUUUUGUGAUUUGGGUGAAUCGACCCUUUAACAUUUAUAGAGUUAAUAUAUGCACACAAGCUGGCAAACACAGAAGCGGAUGUGCUGGUGCAAAUCAAUUAUUUGCUGUCCAUAAAAUGGCUGAGUACACACUCACACGCAUAUGCAUACACACAUAUACCGUGGCACAUUGGCGUGUACACACAGAAGCGGAUGUGGUAGUGUGAAUCAAUAAUGCUGUGUUGUCACAGUGACAUGUGAGCCAUGGCAGGGAGCAGAUGGCCCCGGGGUGCCUUGCUUCCUGUUAGCCGUGCCAUUCAGUCUCCACACACACACAGACACACAGACACACACACACACACAGACCACUACCAUCUCCGCUGGGAUUUCCCAGUGCAACUAGCCACAGCACUGGCCAUUAACAAACAGCAUGCCAUUAUUGGCUCCUCUCUGAAAUGCGUACAUGCCCUCCAAAAAAAAAAAUGACAACAGCCAGAUGAUGGUAAAUAGAUUUCUCUGCCUCGUCCGUGGAGGUCUGGGGUAAAUAAUUCUCUGCACCCCCUUCCCCAAUGUGAUAUUUGGCAGCAGAGCAAAUAGCCCUCAGGAAAUCUGAUCCAUUUCAGUGGACGCUGAGUGAGGUCAGCCGUCGCUCAGGUAUCACUUUGACUACGUGGUAUUGAUUGAGCAUUUCCGAUGGUUUGUGUUGGUAUCUCUGAGCAAAGACUCAAUUAACGCGGUGGCUGUAAACGUCAGGUUGUGUAUGAAGGUGAUUUAUUGAAAUUCAUGUUGUAGGAAAAACUGUCUCUGUCGAAAGACCUUGGCGAGAUGUUUUAACACUUUUAUGCUGACGGCUUUCAGUCGGUGUGUGUGUGUUUGACUCCUGGUAAAGCUCACACAGCACCACCCUGUUGGCAGUCACCUUUGAUGGCGACUGAUUAGGUUUGAAGUGCACAGAAAAAUGAUUCGCCCCUGAUGUUUGGAAGAUAAAAGCUUUGCCAAGGGAACGCCGCUGCUGCUACCUGGUGUUUCAGGGCAGCGAUCAGCGUUCAUGAAACUCCUCGCCAUCCCGAACUCUUGAUGUCCUCCCAGACCUACAACCAAAUCCUGUCAGCGUGCUGCGGUGAACAGACAUUUUGUUACUGUCACAGAUAACCCCUGCUGUUUUCAGAGGACGACUACUGCAUGCUACCUCUGACAGGGAUAUCUCGCAGGCAGGGGCUUACCCAGCAUUGCCACGGUGUUAUAUUACAUCAAUUUCACUAGGUCUACUCUGAAGGUGUGCUGCCUUUAAUUGGUUGUUGGGCUGUCAUUACAACUUCAAAUAAUGACAGAUACUUCAAAGAAAACAGGGAGGAUUGGAAACAGGAGAAACGACAGUGAUUCCUUUUCUUCUUAGGUAUUUUGUUUAGCAUUUUUUGGUAUUUUCUUUGACAAUUCAGUUAUGCUUUAUGCCUGUAUGUUCUAAGGAUGCAGUCUUCUUGUGACUUAUGUCAGAGCAAAUUUUUUAUGAUGCCUGGAUUCAGUUAUGUCAGGCGCCAUUUCACUUCGUAGAGGAGUGUUAACUGUGACAUGUCUAGACGAGCAAAUCUAACCACCAGACGUUUAAUCAACUCUGCAAAUUGACCUAUAAAUUGCUUCAUUUAUCUUUCACAGUUUGUGGUGAACGAGCUGUAAAAAAGAAAGAAGAGCCCAAAAUAAGUAUGCAUUUUCUCUUGUCUAUGCUAUAUAUAUGUAAAAAGACCUUUGAUUAUCAGCUAGCUUUGCAAACUCAUUUUCUGAUUGCACCAGAUCUAUCAUGACAGGUAGACCUUCAAUGUUUCCAGAUUUGAAUUAGUCCACAUUCCUGCACUCCAGCGAGGACAGCGGGUUAAAAAAUAUUCCUGGAUGAAAUGACUGCACUUCACAAGGUGUCUUUGAUCAGAAGGUGAAGCUAACCGGGUUGAGGAGGAGGAGGAGGAGAGAUAGAAGGGCAAGCAAGUAGAGGAGGCUUCUAUAAACAGUCCGGUCCUUCUUACUGCCACAUGUGCUGCAGACAGGUCAAGCCUGCUGAGGUAAUUGCUGUGGAUGGUUGGGAAAGUACGAUCAGGCCACCAGGGUUGAAAGACCAAAGCAAAACGGAGCCAGCAGAGUGAACAGCUUUGAUUUAAGUGGAGUUCAUGGCUGUUAAGAGAGAGUUGCAGAAGUAGGAGUAGAUUAGCUCACUCCAUAGAAAUUUAUAGAGCAAACUUGGAUAAAGUUGCCUGUUAAAGUCAUCUGACUCAACAAUCAUCUGAUUCUCAGCUGAUCCAUCUGCUGACUUAGAAAGUAGAGGAGUGUGCUCGUGAAACACCCACGGGGGCAUUACAUAGCACAAAAAUACAAAUGAAACAGAACCUUUUCAACAGCCACAGCUCAAUAUACAGUAUGUUUCCUGUAUGAUUUAAAGGGGGCAUAGCAUUGUCAGGUUCAUACUUGUAUUUGGGGUUUCUAUUAGAACAUAUUUACAGGCUUUAAUGUUCAAAAACAUUAUUUUUCUCAUACUGUCUGUCUCUGAAUAUACCUGUAUUCACCCUCUGUCUGAAACGCUCUGUUUUAGCGCCUGUCUCUUUAAGACCCCCUCCUGAAAAAGCCUAGUCUGCUCUGAUUGGCUUGGGAGAAAAAUAUGGUGUGCCUUUGCAAAAGUAGUUGUAAAGCUGUGGGUGAUUUACUGGCGA
This is a long non-coding RNA of Sebastes umbrosus (honeycomb rockfish), 5224 nucleotides long. RefSeq lists it as uncharacterized. The record is from RefSeq and is a predicted model, not a curated record. The transcript has 3 exons. Lineage: Eukaryota; Metazoa; Chordata; Actinopteri; Perciformes; Sebastidae.